This 669-nucleotide ribosomal RNA is filed under the name uncultured Candidatus Saccharibacteria bacterium. RNAcentral describes it as "bacterial SSU rRNA". It matches the Rfam family "Bacterial small subunit ribosomal RNA", at positions 571 to 1250 of the family's 1533-position model. The record is from RNAcentral. Lineage: Bacteria; Candidatus Saccharimonadota.
GCAGGCGGUUUAAUAAGUGAAUAGUGAAACCUGGUGGCUCAACCAUACAGACUAUUAUUCAAACUGUUAAACUCGAGAAUGGUAGAGGUAACNUGGAAUUUCUUGUGUAGGAGUGAAAUCCGUAGAUAUAAGAAGGAACACCGAUGGCGUAGGCAGGUUACNUGGGCCAUUUCUGACGCUAAGGCACGAAAGCGUGGGGAGCGAACCGGAUUAGAUACCCGGGUAGUCCACGCCGUAAACGAUGGAUACUAGCUGUUGGAGGUAUCGACCCCUUCAGUAGCGAAGCUAACGCGUUAAGUAUCCCGCCUGUGGAGUACGGCCGCAAGGCUAAAACAUAAAGGAAUUGACGGGGACCCGCACAAGCGGUGGAUUAUGUUCUUUAAUUCGAUGAUAACCGAAGAACCUUACCAGGGCUUGACAUCCAGGGAAGGUCUGCGAAAGUAGACUGUGCCUUUUGGAACCCUGUGACAGGUGAUGCAUGGCCGUCGUCAGCUCGUGUCGUGAGAUGUUAGGUUAAGUCCUUCAACGAGCGCAACCCUUGUGAAUAGUUGUAUUUUUCUAUUCAGACUGCCCCGGUAACGGGGAGGAAGGANGGGGAUGAUGUCANGUCAGUAUUUCCCUUACGUCCUGGGCUAGAAACGUAAUACAAUGGCUAGUACAAUGCGCAGC